UUAAUUUAAUGGCCGCGGUAUUUUGACCGUGCAAAGGUAGCAUAAUCAUUAGUUUUUUAAUUGAAAGCUGGAAUGAAGGGUUGAAUGAGAAAAUAACUGUCUCUAUUUAAAUUAUUUAGAAUUUUAUUUUUAAGUAAAAAAGCUUAGAUAUCUAUAAAAGACGAGAAGACCCUAUAGAGUUUAAUAAUUUAUAAUUUAUUUUUUUUUAGUAUUAUAAGUUUUAAUUAAAAAAUUAUUUAAUUGGGGUGAUUGAAAAAUUGAAUUAACUUUUUUUGUAUUUUAUCAUUGAUUUAUGAGUAUUUGAUCCUUAUUUAAAGAUUAAAAAAAUAAAUUACCUUAGGGAUAACAGCGUAAUUUUUUUUAAGAGUUCUAAUCGAAAAAAAAG
RNAcentral lists this ribosomal RNA (385 nucleotides) under Conotrachelus punctiventris. RNAcentral describes it as "partial 16S ribosomal RNA". The record is from RNAcentral. Lineage: Eukaryota; Metazoa; Arthropoda; Insecta; Coleoptera; Curculionidae.